This 235-nucleotide ribosomal RNA is filed under the name uncultured bacterium. Its description in RNAcentral is "partial 16S ribosomal RNA". It matches the Rfam family "Bacterial small subunit ribosomal RNA", at positions 15 to 240 of the family's 1533-position model. The record is from RNAcentral.
GAUCAUGGCUCAGGAUGAACGCUAGCUACAGGCUUAACACAUGCAAGUCGAGGGGCAGCAUUUUAGUUUGCUUGCAAACUGAAGAUGGCGACCGGCGCACGGGUGAGUAACACGUAUCCAACCUGCCGAUAACUCCGGAAUAGCCUUUCGAAAGAAAGAUUAAUAUCGGAUGGCAUACGAACAUCGCAUGAUAUUUUUAUUAAAGAAUUUCGGUUAUCGAUGGGGAUGCGUUCCA